CCUGCAGGGGCGCAGAUGUGCUGUGAUUUCAGAACACAGAGCUCUGAGACAUCUUCAUCAUGGCCUGGACAGCUCUCCUUCUAUAUCUUCUCUCUCUCUAUGCAGGUUCUGUGGCCUCCUACGAGCUGACCCAACCACCUUCAGCAUCAGUCACUGCAGGAGAGACUGUCAAAAUCACUUGCUCUGGGGACCAAUUGCCAAAAAAUUAUGCUCACUGGUUUCAACAAAAGCCAGACCAGACCAUAUUGCCACUGAUAUAUAAAGAUAGUGAGCGACCAUCAGGGAUCCCUGACCGAUUCUCUGGUUCCAGUUCAGGGACAACAGCCACCUUGACCAUCAGUGGAGCCCUGUCUGAGGAUGAGGCUGACUAUUACUGUUUGUCAUCAUAUGGUGAUGAUAGUACUUUGUUCCACAGUUAUUUAGGCAGAUGGGGAAGUGACUCACAAACCCCUUGUCUGUGA
Molecule: non-coding RNA, 461 nt
Organism: Peromyscus leucopus (white-footed mouse)
Lineage: Eukaryota; Metazoa; Chordata; Mammalia; Rodentia; Cricetidae
Source: the annotation of a RefSeq genome assembly